AUGUCGACCUCCGCCUCCACUUCCUCUACACUCGGGGCCUCCACCUCAUCGACGCUCGCGACGCAGACCGCCGGGGCCAUGAUCCCGUCCAUCGCGUCGCCGGCGUCCCAGGCCGUCCAUGUCGCCAGCGUCAAGACGCAUGUCCCCGUCAUCCUCGACCUCCAGAAGUCCAACUACGCCAAGUGGCGUAUGCUCAUCACCGUCCUCGUCGGUAAGUACGACCUCACCGGCCACAUCUCCGACCUCACGCCGCCGGAUGCCCGCUCGGCGGACUGGCAGCGUCAGGACUUCGUCGUGCGCUCGUGGAUCUACGGCUCCAUCAGCGAGGACAUCCUCGACACAAUCAUGGCCCAAGAUCAGACCGCGUACGAGGCCUACGCGCUGAUUCGGAACCUCUUCCUCGACAAUCAGCUCACCCGGGCCGUCUACCUCGAGGCGGAGUUCCGGGCCCUCGUCCAAGGCGACCUCACCAUCACCGCCUACUGCCAUCGUCUGAAGGCCCUCUCCGACGCGCUCGCGGACGUAGGGUAG
RNAcentral lists this ribosomal RNA (531 nucleotides) under Triticum aestivum (bread wheat). Its description in RNAcentral is "partial small subunit ribosomal RNA". Lineage: Eukaryota; Viridiplantae; Streptophyta; Magnoliopsida; Poales; Poaceae. The record is from RNAcentral.